Molecule: ribosomal RNA, 440 nt
Filed under: uncultured bacterium
Lineage: Bacteria
Description: partial 16S ribosomal RNA
Rfam family: Bacterial small subunit ribosomal RNA
Source: RNAcentral
CCUACGUGUGGCAGCAGUGGGGAAUAUUGCACAAUGGGGGGAACCCUGAUGCAGCAACGCCGCGUGGGUGAAGAAGUACUUCGGUAUGUAAAGCCCUUUCAGCAGGGAAGAAAAUGACGGUACCUGACAAAGAAGCCCCGGCUAACUACGUGCCAGCAGCCGCGGUAAUACGUAGGGGGCCAGCGUGAUCCGGAUUUACUGGGUGUAAAGGGAGCGUAGACGGCAAGGCAAGUCUGGAGUGAAAGGCCGUGGCUCAACCACGGGACUGCUUUGGAAACUGAGUUGCUGGAGUGCAGGAGGGGUAAGCGGAAUUCCUAGUGUAGCGGUGAAAUGCGUAGAUAUUAGGAGGAACACCGGUGGCGAAGGCGGCUUACUGGACUGUAACUGACGUUGAGGCUCGAAGGCGUGGGGAGCAAACAGGAUUAGAUACCCGAGUAGUC